This 3966-nucleotide long non-coding RNA is filed under the name Nicotiana tabacum (common tobacco). RNAcentral describes it as "long non-coding RNA (NTAB_LNC007784)". Lineage: Eukaryota; Viridiplantae; Streptophyta; Magnoliopsida; Solanales; Solanaceae. The record is from RNAcentral.
AUGGAUCCAAAGGAGAAGAUACUGCUGCUCUUGAGCAAUCAAACUCCUGCAGCAAUUCUGAGGUAAAUUGUCUCUGACUGAUGAUGAAAUUAAAAUUUCCAUCCCCAAAAAGUAGUGUAUAUCACCUAAAUGCUUGACUUUGAAUUCUGUAUUGAGAAACGUGCAAAUGUGAUCAAUUUCCUUUGUGUCAUUACCUGUAAAUAGUAUAUCAUCUACAUAAACAGCUAAAAUGGAAAAUAGGCCAUCUUUCUGUUUAUAGAACAUGGAAUAGUCAUUGAGAGAACCGGAGUAGCCUUUGAAACUCAGAGCUCCGGCAAGCCUAGAAUACCAUUGUCGUGAUGCUUGCUUCAAAUCAUAGAGAGACUUCCUUAAUAAACAGACUUGAUUAGGCUUAGGGGGAAGAAGUCCCGCAGGAAAUCUCAUGUACACUUCUUCCUGUAAGUCCCCAUGUAAGAAAGCAUUGUUAACAUCUAAUUGAGAGACUUUCCAACCUUUCUUUACUACCAUUGUUAAAAGACAUCGAAUGGUAGUCAUUUUCACCAUUGAUGAAAAUGUUUCAAAAUAGUCUAUGCCUUCCCUUUGAAUGUCCCCCCUCACUACUAACCUUGCUUUUAAUCUCUCCACUGUUCCAUCAGAAUUGUGUUUCACUUUAUAUACCUAAUUGCAAGGCAAGGCUCUCUUUCCCCGUGGCAAGUCCACAAUGUCCCAAGUGUGGUUAAGCUCAAGUGCCUUAAUUUCUGCUUCCAUAGCUUUCCUCCAACCUGGAUGUGUAGAUGCUUGAGCAUAACUAUUUGGUUCUGAAAUAUUAGACAGUGUUUGAAGAACCUUUUGGUUGUUGAGUGAAAGAGCAUAAAAAAAAAACACACUAGGCUUGAAAGGUUGAAUGAAACAAGAAGAGGUAAGGUCAGGAAGAAUGAUAGUGUUGCAGACGUAGUCAUUCAAAUAUGUAGGCUUCUGAGUGAUCCUUUCUGACUUUCUGAUUGGAGGAGGUGGAAUGGGAAUAGGACUCUUAGACAAACUUGGAACUGUAGAAUGAAAAAGAGAUUGUCUAUCAGUAGAGAAUGGAAUAACACUAGUGUGUGAAUUGGUUCUAGGCAUAGUGAUAGGAGUAGCAGGGGAGUCUGAGUGAUUUGUGUUGGGUGGCUGAGUGAAAGUAGUACGUGGUUCUGUUGUGAAAUCAACAUGCGCAUUUCCUGUUGAGUCUGCUUGGGCUGCAGGGGGCAGGAUAGAAAGGAAAAUCAGAUGGUGAGACUGAUGUGAUGAAAGGAAAACAAUGCUCAUGAAACUUGACAUCUUUGGAAAUAAAAACUUUCCUGUUGUUCAUAUCCAAAACUUUGUACCCUUUUUGAUUGUGAGGGUAACCUAGAAACACACAACUCUUAGCUCUUGGUUCAAACUUCCCUCUAGUUUGAGCUAGAGUGGAGGCAUAACAUAAGCAUCCAAAAGAUCUUAGACAAUCAUACUUGGGUGGCUUCUUAAACAGUACUUAAUAUGGUGUCUUCCCUUUCAGAACUUUUGAAGGAAAUCUAUUUAUUAGAUAUGUGGUAGUCAAUAUACAUUCUCCCCAAUAUUGAAUAGGGACCCUUGAUUGAAAUAAUAAGCCCCUUGCAAUUUUCAAAAGAUGUCUAUGUUUCCUCUCCAGAACACCAUUUUAUUGUGGAGUAGCUACACAAGAUGUUUCAUAUUGUAUACCUUGUGAAUGCAGAAAUAUAGAUUCCUGUGUCCCCUUUCCCAAUUCCAAAGCAUUGUCAGAUCUUAGCUUAUUCACCUUCUUGUUAAAUUGUCUUUCCAUCAUAGUAAGAAGACACUUCAAAACUGAAAAUGUAUUACUUUUAGUACUCAAGAUAAAGGUCCAGGUUGCUCUACUGAAAUCAUCAACUAUGGUUAGGAAGUACUUGUAUCCAUUGUAUGUACUAGUCUUAAAAGGUCCCCAAAUAUCUAUAUGAAUAAGAUUAAAUAUGCUUGAAGAUCUGAUUUGACUAAUUGGGAAAGGUAGCUUAGUUUGCCUGGCUUGAGGACAUACAUCACAUAAUCAAAAUUUGAAGGAAAAUGAAUGAAACUGAGAUUUUUCACAGCUGCAAAGGGCAAAUGCCCCAAUCUGACAUUCCAUUCUCUUACAUUAGAUAUAGCAUUAGCAAACACAGGUGCUCAAAAAGGAACACUAGUAGAAAACAAACUGGAAUUACUUCCCUUUGAAAUUGAAACUACAUUUUGUUUGAACAAGAUCCCAGACUCUAAACUACUAGGCUGGAGUAGGUAUAGACCAUCCCUCACUUCACCAAAAGCUUGUCCCCUCCUCAUUAAAGGGACCUGCAACAGACAUUUGUUGGAAGUCAGAUUGAUAAAACAACUGAAUUGGCUACAUAACUUAUGGACUGAUAAUAAGUUAUAUUUGAAAGAAGGGACAUAUAGAACCCUUUCCAGAAUCAUAUCUGGUUGUAUGCUUACCCUUCCUAUAUGUGUAACAAACAAUUGAAAUGAGUUAGGCAAACUUAUGUGCAAAGGUAUAGGAAAUGGACAGAGUUCUAAGAAAGAUUUUGAGUCAAAACACAUGUGCUCAGAGGCACCUGAGUCAAUAAUCCAGGUGUUAGUUUUAAAAAUAGCUAGGCAUGUUCCAGAGUAUUUAAGAAUGGUACCAGCUACUGAAUUAGCAUUGAUCUCUAUUCCUUCAUUUCCUCCAUUUACAAUCUGCACUUGUUUGAUUAUGUUUACUAAGUCAGAGACUUGUUCCUUGCUGAAAAAAUGAUUCUGAUUGCUUGAAUUUCCUUUAGUGCAUCUAUUUGUUUGUCCAUCAGUUUAUGUUGCUGGAACCAGUGCAUUGGCCUUCACUGCUCCUUGAGAGAAGUGUGACUUGGUAAAUUAAAAGUCAUCUGGAAACCCAUUGAGCCUGUAGUAGUCUGCCCUGGCAUGGCCUGUCCUCAUGCAGUGAGAACAGGUAACAUUUGGGUUGUACCUAGUCUUCUUUGCCUUGAAUUUUUGUUGUGUGUUCCCUUGCUUCUGCUUUGGAUUCCAAGUUCUUUGGAUCUGAUUGUUUCUCUAUGGGGUUUUGUUCUGUAUUCCCACCAUGAAUGAUGCAACAUCAAUGGGCUAUGAAGGAUUCAUGUAUAAUUCCCUUUGGCUCUCAUCCUACAACAGUAGAGAAUAGGAUUGAUCAAUGCCUGGGAGUGGACUCAUCAAAAGUAUGUUUCCUCUUGCUUGAGCAUAAACAUCAUUCAAUCCCAUAAGGAAUUGAAUAACUCUUUGAUCUUCCAUGAACUUUGCAAUUUUCUUCUUUCCAUCAAAUGUACAAUCACAAGUGCAUCCCAGAUGUGAGUUGAGAGAAUCCAACUCAUCCCACAGUCUUUGUAGAGUUGUAAAAUAGCCUGCUAUGCUGCUAUUUCCUUGGGCUAACUUUGAGAUCUCCUUCUGUAGGUGAUAGAGCUUUGCUCCACUCGAUUGGCCAAACCUGUGCUCGAGGCUGCUUCAGAGAUCUUUUGUAGUUCUAGAAUAAAUCACACUAUCUCCUAUCUCCUUGGUCAGUGAAUUCGGCAACCAAGAGGUCACCAUGUCGUUGCACCUGCUCCAUUGUGAGUGUUCUGCAGCAUUCAAAGCUGGUUCACCACAAGUUCCAUUGAUAAAACCAAGCUUGUUCUUGUCUGAAAUCGCAAUUAGUACAGAUCUUCUCCAGCCUAGAAAACCUCUUCCGUCAAAUGGUGAUCUAACUAGAGACAUCCCUGGAGCAUCAGAAGAAUGUAGAUAGUAAGGGUGAUUGGAAUCAGGGGUGCUCCCACUGCUGGUGGAUCCAGUGGCAGUGAGAGUAGGUGUUGCUUCUGUUCCUAUCGUUGCUGAAGAACAGAUGUGAAGAUGAGAAGAGUAAUGAUUGAAUUUUGAGAGAAAAUUAUGAUAGAUCGAGCUACUGAUGCUCCGAUACCAUGAAAGAAAGAUAGAGUGAUUUGUGAAAUUUUUCUCUGAUUGUAUUCACUGUAC